RNAcentral lists this ribosomal RNA (459 nucleotides) under uncultured Gammaproteobacteria bacterium. RNAcentral describes it as "bacterial SSU rRNA". It matches the Rfam family "Bacterial small subunit ribosomal RNA", at positions 71 to 519 of the family's 1533-position model. The record is from RNAcentral. Lineage: Bacteria; Pseudomonadati; Pseudomonadota; Gammaproteobacteria.
UUGAUUCUUCGGAGGAUUUAAUGGGCGUCGAGCGGCGGACGGGUGAGUAAUGCCUAGGAAAUUGCCUUGAUGUGGGGGAUAACCAUUGGAAACGAUGGCUAAUACCGCAUAAUGCCUACGGGCCAAAGAGGGGGAUCUUCGGACCUCUCGCGUCAAGAUAUGCCUAGGUGGGAUUAGCUAGUUGAUGAGGUAAUGGCUCACCAAGGCGACGAUCCCUAGCUGGUCUGAGAGGAUGAUCAGCCACACUGGAACUGAGACACGGUCCAGACUCCUACGGGAGGCAGCAGUGGGGAAUAUUGCACAAUGGGCGAAAGCCUGAUGCAGCCAUGCCGCGUGUAUGAAGAAGGCCUUCGGGUUGUAAAGUACUUUCAGUUGUGAGGAAGGGGGUAGUGUUAAUAGCGCUAUCUCUUGACGUUAGCAACAGAAGAAGCACCGGCUAACUCCGUGCCAGCAGCCGCG